CCGGCCUUAGCUCAGUUGGUAGUAGCGGCAGACUGUAGCGGCGCCUUCGCUGGCAGUUGCGGGCGCCACAGCUAUCUGUAGGUCCCCGGUUCAACUCCGGGAGGCCGGA
Molecule: non-coding RNA, 109 nt
Organism: Quaeritorhiza haematococci
Lineage: Eukaryota; Fungi; Chytridiomycota; Chytridiomycetes; Quaeritorhizaceae
Source: the annotation of a GenBank genome assembly